UCGGAAUUACUGGGCGUAAAGUGUGCGCAGGUGGCCGCGCAAGUCGAGUGUGAAAUCCCCGAGCUUAACUUGGGAAUUGCGCUCGAAACUACGUGGCUCGAGUGUGGCAGAGGAAGGUGGAAUUCCACGUGUAGCGGUGAAAUGCGUAGAGAUGUGGAGGAACACCGAUGGCGAAGGCAGCCCCCUGGGCCAACACUGACGCUCAGGCACGAAAGCGUGGGGAGCAAACAGG
This 232-nucleotide ribosomal RNA is filed under the name uncultured bacterium. Its description in RNAcentral is "partial 16S ribosomal RNA". It matches the Rfam family "Bacterial small subunit ribosomal RNA", at positions 545 to 776 of the family's 1533-position model. The record is from RNAcentral.